RNAcentral lists this long non-coding RNA (1431 nucleotides) under Homo sapiens (human). RNAcentral's name for it is "HSALNT0309212". The record is from RNAcentral. Lineage: Eukaryota; Metazoa; Chordata; Mammalia; Primates; Hominidae.
GGCGGGAGGCGGUCCUGGGGCAGCGGGUCGUGCGCUGCGCGCAAAGCCAGCGGGAAGGCCUCGGCUAGCUUGGUGUUGUUGGGCAGGCCGUGCACGCGGCUGUCGGGCAGCGGCGUGCGGUGGCGGCACACCGGGCACGCGAUGGCGCCGGGCGGGCAGAGCCAGGGCGGCGGGCGCGGCGGGCGCUCAGGCGCGGCGGCAGCGGCGGCGGCGGCGGCGGCGCGGAGCUGCAGCUGGCUCAGGCACUCCUGGCAGAAGGUGUGCAAGCACGCCAGCAGCUUGGGCGCGCGCCGGUCCGCGUCGAAGUAGUUGUAGCAGAUUUUGCACUCGUAGUCCUCAAGCGGAGGGAGGCCGGAGACCGUCUCCGCUGCGUCCCGGGCUCCUGCGUCUCCGCAGUCCGGGGCUCCCUUCGCGGCGACCCCAGCUCCCUCCCGGCUCCCGGGGCUGCUGCUUGGGCUCUGCUGGCUGCCGCCGCUGUCGCUCGCCGGCGCUGCCAUGGCAUGAUCCGCCCCUCAUCGGGGGCAAGCCAGAGCUCACCAGUGAUGUAAUGCGGGACCCGCGCGGGGAGGGGAAACGGCAGCCUCAACCGCCUGGCAGCGGCGGUUUCUUCUCUUCGUGAAAAUCGUGAUCUCAUCUCUCCGUCCAUGGGCGAAAAAACAGCCAUCACCAGGCCAUUCACGCUUUGUGCUUUUGUUAGCAGAGCCCAGGCAGCCCUGCAGCCCACAUCUAGGGUACAAACGGAACGGCGGCGUUUUCCUUGUAUCAUUUAGAGGAAAUUUUUGAGCUGAACAGUAUUUUUUUUCUCCCUCUCUCUCUCUCUGAAAUAUUGCUGAGAUUUAAAGGAGGACGAAGACAACAGAUUCAUAGCUGGGUCUUGCUGUUUUCCUGACGCUGACCACAGCGGAUCUAGGUGGCUAUUUCGUUGGUGCACAGGCGUUCACAGAGGCAGAGAGGGGAGAAAGUUGUCAAACAGAUUCACAGACUGUCAAAGUGCGGCUUAAACCGAGUUCCUGGGCUCCCUCACUGGCUUCGUCCACUUAAACUUUUAACGUACACAUGUAGAGAGCUGAAACUCCAGGGGUAACAUGGGACAGGUCCUCUUGAUUUAAUGAAAACAGAAGAUCAACUGGACCGGGUAGCAAGAAAUAAGGCUUAAGAAGCACUGGGUUGGGCCUCACCCUAUGAGCAGGGAACCCACCUUCCCCCUCAACAAAAGAAAAGAUGACUUUGGAAUGUUCUGGAUUCCCACAGCUGGGAAUGUUCCUACUUUUUUUUCAGUUUCUCUGCAGAAGACAGCAAGAUGCCCCAGGGAAUGUUUGUGAAAAAGGAUGACUGGAUGGGAAGCAAGCUGAAGAAAAAGAAGGAAAGAAAGAGAGAAAUCAGUAAAUCACCACACAAGAGGUGGAGAAGAGGACUUAUAAAUAUUGUUUC